Molecule: ribosomal RNA, 253 nt
Filed under: uncultured bacterium
Lineage: Bacteria
Description: partial 16S ribosomal RNA
Rfam family: Bacterial small subunit ribosomal RNA
Source: RNAcentral
UACGUAGGGCGCAAGCGUUGUCCGGAAUUAUUGGGCGUAAAGAGCUCGUAGGCGGUUUGUCGCGUCUGCUGUGAAAACUCGAGGCUCAACCUCGGGCUUGCAGUGGGUACGGGCAGACUAGAGUGCGGUAGGGGUGACUGGAAUUCCUGGUGUAGCGGUGGAAUGCGCAGAUAUCAGGAGGAACACCGGUGGCGAAGGCGGUUCUCUGGGCCUUACCUGACGCUGAGGAGCGAAAGCGUGGGGAGCAAACAGG